This 420-nucleotide ribosomal RNA is filed under the name uncultured Microcoleus sp. RNAcentral describes it as "bacterial SSU rRNA". It matches the Rfam family "Bacterial small subunit ribosomal RNA", at positions 356 to 790 of the family's 1533-position model. Lineage: Bacteria; Bacillati; Cyanobacteriota; Cyanophyceae; Oscillatoriales; Microcoleaceae. The record is from RNAcentral.
GGGGAAUCUUCCGCAAUGGGCGAAAGCCUGACGGAGCAAGACCGCGUGAGGGAAGAAGGCUCUUGGGUCGUAUACCUCUUUUGUCAGGGAAGAACACAAUGACGGUACCUGACGAAUCAGCCUCGGCUAACUCCGUGCCAGCAGCCGCGGUAAUACGGAGGAGGCAAGCGUUAUCCGGAAUUAUUGGGCGUAAAGCGUCCGUAGGUGGCUAGUCAAGUCUGCGGUCAAAGACUGGGGCUUAACCCUGGAAAGGCCGUGGAAACUGACGAGCUAGAGUGCAGUAGGGGUAGAGGGAAUUCCCGGUGUAGCGGUGAAAUGCGUAGAGCUCGGGAAGAACAUCGGUCGCGAAAGCGCUCUACUGGACUGCAACUGACACUCAGGGACGAAAGCUAGGGGAGCGAAAGGGAUUAGAUACCCCUG